Molecule: ribosomal RNA, 448 nt
Filed under: uncultured bacterium
Lineage: Bacteria
Description: bacterial SSU rRNA
Rfam family: Bacterial small subunit ribosomal RNA
Source: RNAcentral
UUUCGAAUCAUUCACAAUGGGCGAAAGCCUGAUGGUGCGACGCCGCGUGAGGGAUGAAGGUCUUCGGAUUGUAAACCUCUGUCACUAGGGAAGAAACGCUUUGAGUUAAUAGUUCAAAGCCUGACUUAACCUGGAGAGGAAGCAGUGGCUAACUCUGUGCCAGCAGCCGCGGUAAUACAGAGACUGCGAGCGUUAUUCGGAUUCACUGGGCGUAAAGGGUGCGCAGGCGGCCAAGUGUGUGGGGCGUGAAAGCCCGGGGCUCAACCCCGGAAUUGCACUCCAAACUACAUGGCUAGAGUACUGGAGAGGGUAACGGAAUUCACGGUGUAGCAGUGAAAUGCGUAGAUAUCGUGAGGAACACCAGAGGCGAAGGCGGUUACCUGGACAGUUACUGACGCUCAGGCACGAAAGCGUGGGGAGCAAAAGGGAUUAGAUACCCCCGUAGUCC